Long non-coding RNA from Drosophila eugracilis, 647 nucleotides. RefSeq lists it as uncharacterized. The transcript is spliced from 5 exons. NCBI's taxonomy places the organism in Eukaryota, Metazoa, Arthropoda, Insecta, Diptera, Drosophilidae. The record is from RefSeq and is a predicted model, not a curated record.
GUCACAACGUUGAAGCGGUCACAGUUUAAAUGACCAACCGAAAGACGAAGCACGUGUUGCACAGCAAAAGAAAAAUAACUUAAAAUAAAAAUGAAUUUCUCAAGAAAAUAUUUACAAAUUAUUAAAAACUUGAUAGACAAUUAUCUGUUUAAUGGCUGAAAGUAAGAAAAUAUCUGAAAAAUGUAAGAAUCUGGAAUUAGAAAUCCAUUUCUAAAACAGCGUGUCAGCAUUAACCCAAAGAGUCUCAUUUGGAGACUUCUUAGAACAACUGUAAUCCAUUCAAAUGGUGAAAUUGCUGGUCUGUAACCCAAAAUAGGUUAUGAUUGUAACACGGGUAAAAGAUGGUGGUGUUCAUACUUUGGAACAACCAGAAGGCGGACCUCUUGUCGAUUUUGAAAAACUGGAUAACUAGUGGAAGAACCGUAUAAGGAAAUCCAAAAAUGUGUCUUAUGUUCGGAAAGAAUUCCUAAUCAGUAGGUAAGAAAUUAUCUUCAUUAAGGUUUUAAAUUUCAAUCUGAUGAAAUCCUAAGAUAGGGACAUCUGAUGUCUAUGACUGAUUUGUCUUGAUAGUAGAACUGAUCUUUCAAAUUUUAUUUUGUAAACAUUUCUUUAAAAAAAAUUGUUUAUUCUUAUCCAGAUUUUUUUUG